GGGCCCGUAGCUCAGCAUGGUAGAGCGUCCGGCUCAUAACCGGAAGGUCCCGGGUUCGAAUCCCGGCGGGCCCA
RNAcentral lists this transfer RNA (74 nucleotides) under Caldivirga sp. CIS_19. RNAcentral describes it as "tRNA-Met". It matches the Rfam family "tRNA". From Rfam's summary of the family: Transfer RNA (tRNA) molecules are approximately 80 nucleotides in length. Their secondary structure includes four short double-helical elements and three loops (D, anti-codon, and T loops). RNAcentral also lists the same sequence under 2 other names. The record is from RNAcentral. Lineage: Archaea; Thermoproteati; Thermoproteota; Thermoprotei; Thermoproteales; Thermoproteaceae.